Sorex araneus (European shrew) is the source of this 134-nucleotide small nucleolar RNA. The record is from Ensembl. Lineage: Eukaryota; Metazoa; Chordata; Mammalia; Eulipotyphla; Soricidae.
ACCCUCCCGUUCCAUUUUUUAUCAGAUCUGGACAACGAUUUUGGUGAUUCUUAAAGGAGGAGUAGUAAAUACUGAAACUGACCUCAUAGGACUCAUAAUCUACCAUGUAGCACAUUGGCUAAUUUAAAACAAGC